GUGCUGGCUUUGGCAGCACAUAUGCUAAAAUUGGAACGAUACAGACAAGAUUAGCAUGGCCCUGGCACAAGGAUGACACACAAAUUCAUGAAGCAUUCCAUAUUUUU
Molecule: small nuclear RNA, 107 nt
Filed under: Propithecus coquereli (Coquerel's sifaka)
Lineage: Eukaryota; Metazoa; Chordata; Mammalia; Primates; Indriidae
Source: RNAcentral